AUCCAAAGGAUGAUUAUGGAUUCAAAUUUCUCACGACGGUCAUCUGAGAUACUUUUUGUAUCAAUAUUGAUGUGAUAAUCCAUUUUUCUGAUGGAU
Molecule: small nucleolar RNA, 96 nt
Organism: Salvia miltiorrhiza (redroot sage)
Lineage: Eukaryota; Viridiplantae; Streptophyta; Magnoliopsida; Lamiales; Lamiaceae
Product: small nucleolar RNA Z161/Z228
Exons: 1
Source: RefSeq, a predicted model, not a curated record